ACGGGUGAGUAAUACAUCGGAACGUGCCCAAUCGUGGGGGAUAACGCAGCGAAAGCUGUGCUAAUACCGCAUACGAUCUACGGAUGAAAGCAGGGGAUCGCAAGACCUUGCGCGAAUGGAGCGGCCGAUGGCAGAUUAGGUAGUUGGUGAGGUAAAGGCUCACCAAGCCUUCGAUCUGUAGCUGGUCUGAGAGGACGACCAGCCACACUGGGACUGAGACACGGCCCAGACUCCUACGGGAGGCAGCAGUGGGGAAUUUUGGACAAUGGGCGCAAGCCUGAUCCAGCCAUGCCGCGUGCAGGAUGAAGGCCUUCGGGUUGUAAACUGCUUUUGUACGGAACGAAACGGCCUUUUCUAAUAAAGAGGGCUAAUGACGGUACCGUAAGAAUAAGCACCGGCUAACUACGUGCCAGCAGCCGCGGUAAUACGUAGGGUGCAAGCGUUAAUCGGAAUUACUGGGCGUAAAGCGUGCGCAGGCGGUUAUGUAAGACAGUUGUGAAAUCCCCGGGCUCAACCUGGGAACUGCAUCUGUGACUGCAUAGCUAGAGUACGGUAGAGGGGGAUGGAAUUCCGCGUGUAGC
RNAcentral lists this ribosomal RNA (581 nucleotides) under Variovorax sp. BvIRHM086. RNAcentral describes it as "bacterial SSU rRNA". It matches the Rfam family "Bacterial small subunit ribosomal RNA", at positions 102 to 679 of the family's 1533-position model. The record is from RNAcentral. Lineage: Bacteria; Pseudomonadati; Pseudomonadota; Betaproteobacteria; Burkholderiales; Comamonadaceae.